GUAAACGGCGGCCGUAACUAUAACGGUCCUAAGGUAGCGAAAUUCCUUGUCGGGUAAGUUCCGACCUGCACGAAUGGCGUAAUGAUGGCCAGGCUGUCUCCACCCGAGACUCAGUGAAAUUGAACUCGCUGUGAAGAUGCAGUGUACCCGCGGCAAGACGGAAAGACCCCGUGAACCUUUACUAUAGCUUGACACUGAACAUUGAGCCUUGAUGUGUAGGAUAGGUGGGAGGCUUUGAAGCGUGGACGCCAGUCUGCGUGGAGCCAACCUUGAAAUACCACCCUUUAAUGUUUGAUGUUCUAACGUUGGCCCCUGACCGGGGUUGCGGACAGUGUCUGGUGGGUAGUUUGACUGGGGCGGUCUCCUCCCAAAGCGUAACGGAGGAGCACGAAGGUUAGCUAAUCCUGGUCGGACAUCAGGAGGUUAGUGCAAUGGCAUAAGCUAGCUUGACUGCGAGCGUGACGGCGCGAGCAGGUGCGAAAGCAGGUCAUAGUGAUCCGGUGGUUCUGAAUGGAAGGGCCAUCGCUCAACGGAUAAAAGGUACUCCGGGGAUAACAGGCUGAUACCGCCCAAGAGUUCAUAUCGACGGCGGUGUUUGGCACCUCGAUGUCGGCUCAUCACAUCCUGGGGCUGAAGUAGGUCCCAAGGGUAUGGCUGUUCGCCAUUUAAAGUGGUACGCGAGCUGGGUUUAGAACGUCGUGAGACAGUUCGGUCCCUAUCUGCCGUGGGCGCUGGAGAAUUGAGGGGGGCUGCUCCUAGUACGAGAGGACCGGAGUGGACGCAUCACUGGUGUUCGGGUUGUCAUGCCAAUGGCACUGCCCGGUAGCUAAAUGCGGAAGAGAUAAGUGCUGAAAGCAUCUAAGCACGAAACUUGCCCCGAGAUGAGUUCUCCCUGAGACUUUAAGUCUCCUGAAGGAACGUUGAAGACGACGACGUUGAUAGGCCGGGUGUGUAAGCGCAGCGAUGCGUUGAGCUAACCGGUACUAAUGAACCGUGAGGCUUAACCUUACAACGCCGAAG
Molecule: ribosomal RNA, 1020 nt
Filed under: Klebsiella pneumoniae
Lineage: Bacteria; Pseudomonadati; Pseudomonadota; Gammaproteobacteria; Enterobacterales; Enterobacteriaceae
Description: partial 23S ribosomal RNA
Rfam family: Bacterial large subunit ribosomal RNA
Source: RNAcentral